AUGGCUUAUUUAGCUGUCGUUGAAGGAUGAGCUUGCGGCCUAUCAGUUUGUUGGCGGGGUAAUGGCCCACCAAGACUAUGACGGGUAGCCGGCCUGAGAGGGUGAUCGGCCAGAUUGGAACUGAGACACGGUCCAGACUCCUACGGGAGGCAGCAGUGAGGAAUCUUGCGCAAUGGGCGAAAGCCUGACGCAGCGACGCCGCGUGGAGGAUGACGGUCUUCGGAUUGUAAACUCCUGUUAAGUGGGAAGAAAGAAUCGUUCUUAAUAGGAACGAGUGAUGACGGUACCAUUAGAGAAAGCACCGAAGGGCGAAUUCG
RNAcentral lists this non-coding RNA (317 nucleotides) under candidate division TM6 bacterium Zodletone_IIa. Its description in RNAcentral is "Bacterial small subunit ribosomal RNA". It matches the Rfam family "Bacterial small subunit ribosomal RNA", at positions 202 to 504 of the family's 1533-position model. The record is from Rfam by way of RNAcentral.